AUGCCAAGGCUACAAAACGAAAGGCUUGACAACCCAUUCUCUGAACAGGAGGUUUGGGCUACUAUCCAGGCCUCCCCAGCAGAAAAAGCGCCAAGACCCAAUGCUUUUUCGGGCAUCUUCUACAGAUCAUGUUGGGGCACGAUCAAGGAUGAUGUCAUGACGGUUUUUGACAAGUUCUACAGGUUGGCAGAUGGCAAUUUUGCUGAACUCAAGACGGCCAUGAUCACUCUCAUCCCGAAGAAAGACGGGGCCAUGAGAAUAACCGACUUUAGGCCCAUCAGCCUCAUCCACUCUAUAGCCAAGCUGAUCACUAAGGUGCUAUCCAUGAGACGUUUUUUUAGAAAAGGAGGAAGACCCCCGGCUUCUGCAUCUGGGCGAUGCAUGCAACCACUUUAUUAA
RNAcentral lists this ribosomal RNA (399 nucleotides) under Triticum aestivum (bread wheat). RNAcentral's name for it is "partial small subunit ribosomal RNA". The record is from RNAcentral. Lineage: Eukaryota; Viridiplantae; Streptophyta; Magnoliopsida; Poales; Poaceae.